GAUGAAGAACGUAGCGAAAUGCGAUAAGUAAUGUGAAUUGCAGAAUUCAGUGAAUCAUCGAAUCUUUGAACGCACCUUGCGCUCCUUGGUAUUCCUCGGAGCAUGCCUGUUUGAGUAUCAUGAAACUCUCAAAGAAAAUCUUUUGUUAAUUCAAUUGGUUUGCUUUGGACUUGGAGGUUUUUUUUGCAGAUUAAUUUCUGCUCCUCUUAAAUAUAUUAGCUGGAUCUCAGUAUAUGCUCGGUUCCACUCGGCGUGAUAAGUAUCACUCGCUGAGGACACUGGUAAAAGAGGUGGCCGGGAAAUACAGAUGAACCGCUUCAAACAGUCCAUUGACUUGGACAAUAUAAGUUUUAAGAUCUGAUCUCAAAUCAGGUAGGACUACCCGCUGAACUUAAGCAUAUCAAUAAGCGGAGGA
RNAcentral lists this unclassified non-coding RNA (415 nucleotides) under soil metagenome. RNAcentral describes it as "partial contains 5.8S ribosomal RNA, internal transcribed spacer 2, and large subunit ribosomal RNA". The stretch from base 1 to 120 matches the Rfam family "5.8S ribosomal RNA", at positions 35 to 154 of the family's 154-position model. The record is from RNAcentral.